AACUUAAUUUGAUAAUAGGUUCUUAUUUUAUUUAUUAGUUUGUAGAAUUUAAUAGAAAUAACUUAAUUAUUAGUAUAUUUUAUAGAAAUAAUUUUUAUUGUUAUAGUUGAUAGUACUGUGAAGGAUUGAUAUGUUUUAGUUUAUAAGUAGUUUUAAUUUAAUGUACCUUUUGUAUCAGGGUUAAUUAAUUUAUCAUAUUUAUUGUGGAUUUCCCGAAAUUGAAAGGUCUAUAAUUUAAAUGUUAGUUAAUGUGUCAAAAUUAUUGAUUAUUUAAUUAUAGUAAUGAAAUGUUAUUCGUUUUCAGAUAUCUGGUUUUCUUGGAAUUAAAUUUAAUUUAGGAUCUUUAUAUUAUAAGGGAUAAUUUUAUUUUUCUUAUUUUUAAGUUCUAAUAUUUUCGGGGAUAAGCUCGGAAUUAAUUAUAUAAGUAGGUAUGGGUUAUUGGAAUUUAGUAGGCUUGAAAUCAGCCAUCAGUUAUUUCGUUAUAGAAUACUUUCUAAUUGUAUUUAUUUAAUUUUCUUUAUUUUUUUACUUGAAUGAUUUAAUUAAUUGGGAUUUUAAUGUUAUAAUGAUUAAAUUAGUAUUUUAUUUAAUUAAAUUAUAGGAACUCGGCAAAUUUAGUGUUCGCCUGUUUAACAAAAACAUGUCCUUUUGUUWAUUUAUUUAAGGUCUGACCUGCCCAAUGAGGAAUUCAAUGGCCGCAGUAUUUUAACUGUGCUAAGGUAGCAUAAUCAUUUGUCUUUUAAUUGAGGGCUGGAAUGAAAGGUUGGACGAGAUAUUAGCUUUCUUUAGUUUAAUUUUAAGAAUUUAAUUUUUGAGUUAAAAAGCUUAAAUUUAUUUGUUGGACGAGAAGACCCUAUAGAUCUUUAUAAUUUUAUAUUUUGAUAAUUUAGUGAUUUUAUUUAUUGUAAGUAGAGGAAUUAUUUUGUUGGGGUGACUGUAGAAUUUUAUUAACUUCUAUUAUUUUUAUUUCAUUGAUUGAUGUUUUUUUGAUCCAUAUAUUUAUGAUUAAAAGAUUAAGUUACCUUAGGGAUAACAGCGUAAUUUUUUCGGAGAGUUCAUAUUGAUGAAGGAGUUUGCGACCUCGAUGUUGGAUUAAAAUAAGUUAUGGGUGCAGAAGCCCAUAUACUAGGUCUGUUCGACCUUUAAAUUUUUACAUGAUCUGAGUUCAGACCGGCGUAAGCCAGGUCAGUUUCUAUCCUCAAUUUAUAUAUAUAUUUUAGUACGAAAGGACCGGGUGUAUAAAAUAGUUUUUUGUUAUUUGAUUAAUAUU
Molecule: ribosomal RNA, 1270 nt
Filed under: Triatoma dimidiata (kissing bug)
Lineage: Eukaryota; Metazoa; Arthropoda; Insecta; Hemiptera; Reduviidae
Description: large subunit ribosomal RNA
Rfam family: Bacterial large subunit ribosomal RNA (bases 836-1202)
Source: RNAcentral